This 148-nucleotide ribosomal RNA is filed under the name Garcinia macrophylla. RNAcentral's name for it is "5.8S ribosomal RNA". It matches the Rfam family "5.8S ribosomal RNA". From Rfam's summary of the family: 5.8S ribosomal RNA (5.8S rRNA) is a component of the large subunit of the eukaryotic ribosome. It is transcribed by RNA polymerase I as part of the 45S precursor that also contains 18S and 28S rRNA. The record is from RNAcentral. Lineage: Eukaryota; Viridiplantae; Streptophyta; Magnoliopsida; Malpighiales; Clusiaceae.
UAGAACGACUCUCGGCAACGGAUAUCUCGGCUCUCGCAUCGAUGAAGAACGUAGCGAAAUGCGAUACGUGGUGUGAAUUGCAGAAUCCCGUGAACCAUCGAGUUUUUGAACGCAAGAAGCCUUCAGGUUGAGGGCACGUCUGCCUGGG